This is a long non-coding RNA of Hemicordylus capensis (graceful crag lizard), 1453 nucleotides long. RefSeq lists it as uncharacterized. Lineage: Eukaryota; Metazoa; Chordata; Lepidosauria; Squamata; Cordylidae. The transcript has 2 exons. The record is from RefSeq and is a predicted model, not a curated record.
UGUGUAGAUCAAUUGUGUAACCAGCAUCCUCAGUGUCUGGAUGUAGUGAUGCCGGAUAUAGGGAACCUGACUGGCACUGAAAACCUGAUAGGACUACAAUAAUAGCAGUCCUGUGAGUUCUAUGUCUUUGAAAAGCCAUCACUGACAGAGCUGGACUUCCUCUGGGGUAUCUUUUUGGAAAGAAUCUCUUCUCUCUACCUUCCCAUCGAAUGAACUCUCUACUCCCAUGACUACAGCAUUUACCACCUACCAUGGGCAGCGAGAACUGACUGUUGAAGAGAAAAAUGUUAUAGUGAAGGUUGCAGGGAAGAAAUGGUGGCAGCAGAUAAAGCAAGAAGAAAAACAGCUUUGAUUGCCAGGGUAAAGAGUGUUAGAACUGCCAUAGGCUGCAUCAGCACAAGGCAGACCUGGGAAGCUACCAAGGGCUUAUCAUCCUGGGACGCUCAUUGAUUCUGCCUGCUCUGGGUGCAGGACUGUGCCCAGCCAGCAGCUGGUGGCCUACAGCUGGAUGGGCCCCAUCUCCUUACAGUGGCAGCAGACACAGACAUGGGCCUCUGCAGAGUGGGCAAGGGGAGGCAGUUGUGCCCCCAAAUUGAGCCAGUCCUAUUUAAUUCAAUGGGGCUUACCCCCCAAGUAAGUGGGUAUAGGAUUUCAGCCUUUGCCUCCCCCGGAUGCAUUUUAUUCUCACUUGGCCAGCAGCAAUGACAGCGUCCUAGGUGGCAGCUGCUGCCACAUUGGUUCCCCCUGCCCCACCCACAAUGCUCUCUAUAUAACAUUGCAAAUAACAUUGUGAGGGGAAGAAAAUGUACCAAGCAGCAGUUGCCAGCAAAAAUGCUAUUAUGCCGUCUUGCUGAGAAUAAAAGAAAUCUUCACCUUUCACCAGAGGAAGGGAGAACGACUGAGGUAAGAGGGAGUUCGUUUAGCUAAAGGCUCUCCUCGAACCAGGGACCAGCCUUGCUCUCAUUCGACUCAGUACUGCCCCUGUGCCAGCUGUGGCCCUGCAGCUCUGGGCACAAUUAAAUGUGCUGGGCAACCCAUGGAGAAGCAAGGUCCUCCCAUCCUACAGUCUUGUUGGAUUGCGCCCUUAAGCCAACACUACUAACUUAAGGCCAUGUUGGAAAAGUCAUAAUGUCACAAAAAGUAUCGAACAAAGAUAGGAAUGUUUACAUUUUUACUAUGAGAAGGAAAUCUCUUAUCCUAUUUUGUUGGAAGCAACAAUAUCCACAUCCAGCAACUGCCCUGUGCAUUUCUGUUGUCUUAUAAUCAUUCUCUAGGUGCUGCCUUUUGACUGAAUAAUGCUUUUCUGCUGAAUAAUACUUCUCCAUCUUCUUGCUGUUAACAUGGAUAGGAUUUUGGAUGCUAGCAAUGCAUGGAGCUGCUUAAUCUACACAACUCUGUUUGAAAUUAUUUUGUACUAAAUAAAAAUAUCAGAGAUAUUUUAGUAUGAAAGCUA